AGAGUUUGAUNCAUGGCUCAGGACGAACGCUGGCGGCGUGCCUAAUACAUGCAAGUCGAGCGGACUUGCUGGAGCUUGCUCCAGCAGGUUAGCGGCGGACGGGUGAGUAACACGUGGGCAACCUGCCUGUAAGACUGGGAUAACUCCGGGAAACCGGAGCUAAUACCGGAUAGUAUCUUGAACCGCAUGGUUCAAGUUGGAAAGACGGUUUCGGCUGUCACUUACAGAUGGGCCCGCGGCGCAUUAGCUAGUUGGUGAGGUAAUGGCUCACCAAGGCAACGAUGCGUAGCCGACCUGAGAGGGUGAUCGGCCACACUGGGACUGAGACACGGCCCAGACUCCUACGGGAGGCAGCAGUAGGGAAUCUUCCGCAAUGGACGAAAGUCUGACGGAGCAACGCCGCGUGAGUGAUGAAGGUUUUCGGAUCGUAAAACUCUGUUGUUAGGGAAGAACAAGUGCGAGAGUAACUGCUCGCACCUUGA
RNAcentral lists this ribosomal RNA (482 nucleotides) under Metabacillus idriensis. RNAcentral describes it as "bacterial SSU rRNA". It matches the Rfam family "Bacterial small subunit ribosomal RNA", at positions 8 to 472 of the family's 1533-position model. Lineage: Bacteria; Bacillati; Bacillota; Bacilli; Caryophanales; Bacillaceae. The record is from RNAcentral.